Long non-coding RNA from Diabrotica virgifera virgifera (western corn rootworm), 1606 nucleotides. RefSeq lists it as uncharacterized. The transcript has 2 exons. Lineage: Eukaryota; Metazoa; Arthropoda; Insecta; Coleoptera; Chrysomelidae. The record is from RefSeq and is a predicted model, not a curated record.
CGUUCCGCCCCUUAUAGAAUCGAUUAUUGAUGGGAAGAUAUUAUUUAACUAUCCAAAAUAUUAUUUAAUUAUUUUCAGAAUUAUUUUCUUUCAAUGUUUAUUCAAAUAGAACUUAAACCCAUCUCAGAAUUUUUAAAUGCUUGAUGACGUCACAUUUAAAACGUGGCAACAUUGGUUUCCCCACUUUGACAGCCAAUGCUUAGUAGAGAGGUACGAAGGAUUCAGCUGUGAACGUGAGCCUUGGAUUGCCAUUGUUUCUCGAGUGUUCGGUCUGAAUCGUAGUGUGCGGGGUCAUUAGACUCAAUUAUUCACCUCUAAUUCUCAGUUCCAAAUUGAUUAAAUAUUACAAUAAAAGUAUAGUGAAGUUAUCCAGCAGCAGUGGAUUUGAAGAAUUUUAGAGCAUACUAUAUCCAAUGAGUUCUACCCCGCACCUACCAUGAAAUCUUAAAGCCACCCUACAACAACACCAAGGCCAGACCACACAAAGAGAAACAAUCAAUAGGCGACCAGCCUGGAUUAUUUCCACAUUUUCUUUUUUUGAGUACCUCCAGCUGCUUUCCAACAGUUUUGAGUACCUUCAGCUGCUUUCUACCAGUCUUCCUCUCCUGUACCUCCAGCAGGACAGCUGCUAGCGAGAGUUAGCACCCUUGGGUGCUCAUUACAUCAACUUCAAGAUUAGGAAAGAGUGGUUUGUUUGGGAACAUUUACUGUGCUCUUAUUAAAGACAGACUGGUUUUGUGAUAUUUAGUACAUUUUUUUUUUAUAGUUCAAUUGCACACACAUUUUUCCUGCUUUAUAUUUUUUAUAGGUUUUUUUUUUCUUUACAACAUAAUAUUUAAUUGAUAGCGUUCCCCAACACUCUGCAAUCUAUAAAGGUAUAAAUUUCUGAGCUCAGAUAUUUUCCCUGAUAAUAGUAGUCGGUACUCUUAUCUUGAUUAUUUUUAGGCUGUGUUCCACUUUUGUAUAAUUAUUUAAACUCAUUCCAUUAUUUUAGUAUAUGUUUAAUUAAAUUUUUAAAAAUUAACUUCACAUAUUAGUCAAAAUUGUAAUUAUUAACUUUAUUUAACUUGAACUUAUUAACUUUACUUAACUUUAACUUAUUAACUUUAUUUAACUUUAACUUUAAUUUAUUAAAUUCAUAUGAACUUCUGGAUUCUAAUCCCUCAGAUUAGUUUUUGGUUUCACUUGUUAUUAUUACUAUUAUAAACCACGAGUUAGGAAAAGGAUCUGUGUAUCCACUCGUAGGUUUAUUUAUUCAAUAAGGCUUGUGCCUGUCCCACUCACAGUGAGGUAUUUAUAUGUUAUAUAUAGUAUCAGGUAGUAUUUAAUUAAGGUGUACGUAUUAUAAACGUACAAUUAUUAUUUGGUGAGGGUUCUACUAACCUAGUUGUAAGUUGUACUUCCUGUAUUAGAGGUACCCGUAGUCAGUUUUUCUAACCUUAUAAAGAGUAUUCUUAGAUCAUAGUUGUAUGAUGAUUUUGUAAUUGACUUUCACUAGUAUCACUUUUUCCUGUCAUGUUAGAGUUACACACUAGUUACUUGUCCUAACUCAGAGAUUGUUAAAAAGAUCUAGUAGUUACAUUCAAUAAAUAUACAUUUAUUGUGA